Molecule: ribosomal RNA, 468 nt
Filed under: uncultured bacterium
Lineage: Bacteria
Description: partial 16S ribosomal RNA
Rfam family: Bacterial small subunit ribosomal RNA
Source: RNAcentral
GACGAACGCUGGCGGCGUGCUUAACACAUGCAAGUCGAACGGAAAGGCCCUGCUUUUGUGGGGUGCUCGAGUGGCGAACGGGUGAGUAACACGUGAGUAACCUGCCCUUGACUUUGGGAUAACUUCAGGAAACUGGGGCUAAUACCGGAUAGGAGCUCCUGCUGCAUGGUGGGGGUUGGAAAGUUUCGGCUGUUGGGGAUGGACGCGCGGCUUAUCAGCUUGUUGGUUGGGUAGUGGCUUACCAAGGCUUUGACGGGUAGCCGGCCUGAGAGGGUGACCGGCCACAUUGGGACUGAGAUAGGGCCCAGACUCCUACGGGAGGCAGCAGUGGGGAAUAUUGCACAAUGGGAGGAAGCCUGAUGCAGCAACGCCGCGUGCGGGAUGACGGCCUUUGGGUUGUAAACCGCUUUAGCCUGUGACGAAGCGUGAGUGACGGUAAUGAGUAAAGAAGCACCGGCUAACUACGUG